GAUGAACGCUGGCGGCGUGCCUAAUACAUGCAAGUCGAGCGAACAGAUAAGGAGCUUGCUCCUUUGACGUUAGCGGCGGACGGGUGAGUAACACGUGGGUAACCUACCUAUAAGACUGGGAUAACUUCGGGAAACCGGAGCUAAUACCGGAUCAUAUUUCGAACCGCAUGGUUCGAUAGUGAAAGAUGGUUUUGCUAUCACUUAUAGAUGGACCCGCGCCGUAUUAGCUAGUUGGUAAGGUAACGGCUUACCAAGGCGACGAUACGUAGCCGACCUGAGAGGGUGAUCGGCCACACUGGAACUGAGACACGGUCCAGACUCCUACGGGAGGCAGCAGUAGGGAAUCUUCCGCAAUGGGCGAAAGCCUGACGGAGCAACGCCGCGUGAGUGAUGAAGGUCUUCGGAUCGUAAAACUCUGUUAUUAGGGAAGAACAUACGUGUAAGUAACUGUGCACGUCUUGACGGUACCUAAUCAGAAAGCCACGGCUAACUACGUG
This 497-nucleotide ribosomal RNA is filed under the name uncultured bacterium. RNAcentral's name for it is "partial 16S ribosomal RNA". It matches the Rfam family "Bacterial small subunit ribosomal RNA", at positions 28 to 507 of the family's 1533-position model. The record is from RNAcentral.